GACGAACGCUGGCGGCGUGCUUAACACAUGCAAGUCGAACGGAAAGACCCUGCUUUUGUGGGGUGCUCGAGUGGCGAACGGGUGAGUAACACGUGAGUAACCUGCCCUUGACUUUGGGAUAACUUCAGGAAACUGGGGCUAAUACCGGAUAGGAGCUCCUGCUGCAUGGUGGGGGUUGGAAAGUUUCGGCGGUUGGGGAUGGACUCGCGGCUUAUCAGCUUGUUGGUGGGGUAGUGGCUUACCAAGGCUUUGACGGGUAGCCGGCCUGAGAGGGUGACCGGCCACAUUGGGACUGAGAUACGGCCCCGACUCCUACGGGAGGCAGCAGUGGGGAAUAUUGCACAAUGGGCGGAAGCCUGAUGCAGCAACGCCGCGUGCGGGAUGACGGCCUUCGGGUUGUAAACCGCUUUCGCCUGUGACGAAGCGUGAGUGACGGUAAUGGGUAAAGAAGCACCGGCUAACUACGUG
RNAcentral lists this ribosomal RNA (468 nucleotides) under uncultured bacterium. RNAcentral's name for it is "partial 16S ribosomal RNA". It matches the Rfam family "Bacterial small subunit ribosomal RNA", at positions 28 to 507 of the family's 1533-position model. The record is from RNAcentral.